Molecule: ribosomal RNA, 472 nt
Filed under: uncultured bacterium
Lineage: Bacteria
Description: partial 16S ribosomal RNA
Rfam family: Bacterial small subunit ribosomal RNA
Source: RNAcentral
AGCGAACGCUGGCGGUAGGCCUAACACAUGCAAGUCGAACGGCAGCACCGUACGAGCUUGCUCUUAUGGGUGGCGAGUGGGGGACGGGACAGGUAUGCAACCGAAUCUUCAUUUUCGGGGGGGUUAACGUAGGUAAACUUACGCUAGUACCGCAUACGACCCACGGGGGAAAGCAGGGGAACUUCGCAGCUGGCGGGAGUGGAUGGGCCGGUGGCUGAUUAGCUAGUUGGCGGGGGAGUGGCCCACCAAGGCGUUGAUGGGUAGCCGGCCUGAGAGGGUGACCGGCCACAUUGGGACUGAGAUACGGCCCAGACUGCUACGGGAGGCAGCAGUGGGGAAUAUUGCACGAUGGGCGGGAGCCUGAUGCAGCAACGCCGCGUGCGGGAUGACGGCCUGCGGGUUGUAAACCGCUUUCGCCUGUGACGAAGCGUGAGUGACGGUAAUGGGUAAAGAAGCACCGGCUAACUACGUG